UCGCCGUGAAAGUCCAUCGGGAAAUCCACCCGCUCAACGGGUGGACGUCCGGUGGAAACUCCACGGCUUGGGACCGGAGGACCCGAGGGGUACGUCGGGGGUAGGAGUGAAAUCCUGAGAUCCUCGACGGACCACCGGUGGCGAAAGCGCCUCGGGAAGACGGAUCCGACAGUCAGGGACGAAAGCUUGGGUCUCGAACCGGAUUAGAUACCCGGGUAGUCCAAGCCGUAAACGAUGCUCGCUAGGUGUGGCGUAGGCUACGGGCCUGCGCUGUGCCAAAGGGAAGCCGCGAAGCGAGCCGCCUGGGAA
RNAcentral lists this ribosomal RNA (309 nucleotides) under uncultured archaeon. Its description in RNAcentral is "bacterial SSU rRNA". It matches the Rfam family "Archaeal small subunit ribosomal RNA", at positions 526 to 834 of the family's 1478-position model. The record is from RNAcentral.